Non-coding RNA from Coturnix japonica (Japanese quail), 458 nucleotides. The record is from RefSeq and is a predicted model, not a curated record. NCBI's taxonomy places the organism in Eukaryota, Metazoa, Chordata, Aves, Galliformes, Phasianidae.
UAAGCCCCCCACCCCAUUAUAAUCAAUGGGGCUGGGCCAUAAGCCCCCCACCCCAUUCUAAUCAAUGGGGCUGGGCUCUGCUGGCCUUGGGCUGGGGUCUCCUCUCGCCCCCCAUAGGCCCCCAUUGUAAUAAAGGGGGGUGGGCGCUGCUCGCUCUCAUUGGGGGUCUGUUCUCGCCGCCCCCCGUGGCUGCAGUUCGCAAGUUGAUCCACGUGGGGGCGCUGUUCCCCAUGAGCGGGGGGUGGCCGGGCGGUCAGGCCUGUCUGCCAGCCGUAAACAUGGCGCUGGAGGACGUCAACCGCCGCCAUGACAUCCUGCCCGACUAUGAACUGAGGCUCAUACACCAUGAUAGUAAGUGUGACCCGGGCCAGGCGACGCAGCUGCUGUACGAGCUGCUGUACAGUGACCCCAUUAAGGUGGUUUUAACUGCCUCGGCUGCAGCACGCGUCUCCCACGUU